This 346-nucleotide unclassified non-coding RNA is filed under the name soil metagenome. Its description in RNAcentral is "partial contains 5.8S ribosomal RNA, internal transcribed spacer 2, and large subunit ribosomal RNA". The stretch from base 1 to 119 matches the Rfam family "5.8S ribosomal RNA", at positions 35 to 154 of the family's 154-position model. The record is from RNAcentral.
GAUGAAGAACGCAGCGAAAUGCGAUACGUAAUGUGAAUUGCAAAUUCAGUGAAUCAUCGAGUCUUUGAACGCACAUUGCGCCCCCUGGUAUUCCGGGGGGCAUGCCUGUCCGAGCGUCAUUGCUGCCCUCAAGCACGGCUUGUGUGUUGGGCCCCGUCCUCCGAUCCCGGAGGACGGGCCCGAAAGGCAGCGGCGGCACCGCGUCCGGUCCUCGAGCGUAUGGGGCUUUGUCACCCGCUCUGUAGGCCCGGCCGGCGCUUGCCGAUCAACCCAAAUUUUUAUCCAGGUUGACCUCGGAUCAGGUAGGGAUACCCGCUGAACUUAAGCAUAUCAAUAAGCGGAAGGA